This 253-nucleotide ribosomal RNA is filed under the name uncultured bacterium. Its description in RNAcentral is "partial 16S ribosomal RNA". It matches the Rfam family "Bacterial small subunit ribosomal RNA", at positions 524 to 776 of the family's 1533-position model. The record is from RNAcentral.
UACAGAGGUGGCAAGCGUUGUCCGGAAUUACUGGGCGUAAAGGGCGCGUAGGCGGCCUUCUAAGUCAGACGUGAAAUCCCCCGGCUUAACCUGGGAACUGCGUCUGAUACUGGAGGGCUUGAGUGCGGGAGAGGGAUGUGGAAUUCCAGGUGUAGCGGUGAAAUGCGUAGAUAUCUGGAGGAACACCGGUGGCGAAGGCGGCAUCCUGGACCGACACUGACGCUGAGGCGCGAAAGCUAGGGUAGCAAACGGG